Long non-coding RNA from Macadamia integrifolia, 375 nucleotides. RefSeq lists it as uncharacterized. The record is from RefSeq and is a predicted model, not a curated record. Lineage: Eukaryota; Viridiplantae; Streptophyta; Magnoliopsida; Proteales; Proteaceae. The transcript is spliced from 3 exons.
UCCAUCGCAAAUUGGGGUCGGAUAAUUAAAUGUCCCUAAAUUAAAAAUCCGAGACCCCUUCCCACGCGCGCUCAAAUCUCAAACAAUUUGAUGAGUUUUGAGAAAUCGUUCCCGAUCAAAAUGAUAGAGUGCUUCUUCACCCUUCUCUUUGUGCAGAGAGAGAGGAAAAGCGUUUCCGCCCUGGCUCUGAGCACAACAGAAAACCCUGCUCUUCGCGCAUAGAGAGAAGAGACCAGAUCCGCCUCCGCCCUUGGUUCUAAACACAGAAAACCAUGCUAUUUGCCACAGGGAGGAGCUACUCCUCUGCCCAAAUCGUUACUUUGUGGGCUUUCUUCACCAAUAUUUCUGGUACUUGUUCUCUGUUUCUCCUGAUUU